This 66-nucleotide transfer RNA is filed under the name Traulia minuta. RNAcentral describes it as "tRNA-Asp". The record is from RNAcentral. Lineage: Eukaryota; Metazoa; Arthropoda; Insecta; Orthoptera; Acrididae.
AAGGAGUUAGUUAAUUUAUAACAUUAGAAUGUCAAUCUAAAAUAACUAAAAUACUAGUACACCUUG